Molecule: unclassified non-coding RNA, 254 nt
Filed under: Hevea brasiliensis (rubber tree)
Lineage: Eukaryota; Viridiplantae; Streptophyta; Magnoliopsida; Malpighiales; Euphorbiaceae
Source: RNAcentral
CCAGUGUAUAUUGGAGCACAGGUCAUGGCCUCAGUGAGUGCAGCAUUUGCUUUGAAAGGGAUAUUUCACCCAAUAAUGGGUGGAGGAGUAACAGUUCCUUCAGGAGGAUACGGUCAAGCUUUUGCUUUGGAAUUCAUUAUUAGCUUUAAUCUCAUGUUUGUUGUCACUGCCGUGGCCACCGACACUAGAGCUGUGGGAGAGUUGGCGGGAAUCGCGGUGGGGGCCACCGUCAUGCUCAACAUACUCAUCGCCGG